RNAcentral lists this long non-coding RNA (395 nucleotides) under Rattus norvegicus (Norway rat). Its description in RNAcentral is "long non-coding RNA NONRATT012855". Lineage: Eukaryota; Metazoa; Chordata; Mammalia; Rodentia; Muridae. The record is from RNAcentral.
GAAAAUGGAGACUCAGAGGCAGCUUGCAGGUGUGCACGCUCACAUUGAAACCCUGGGUCUCUUCUCUUAAGGGCAUCGGUUACAUUCGGAAGCAUCAAAGCUCCACUUUGAGAUACCAUCACACUGGGGAGAAGACAUCAGCCGACGGAUGUGCACAGACACUCAGUUCAUGGCAUCUAUCACCAAGUUUCGAAAUUACACCACGAUCCUGUGGAUUGCAGGGCAUUGAGCUCUCUCCGUGGAUUGGUUUCCACAAGUACACGGAGUGAAAAAAAGAACUUCCCAGUAGGCUAUGAGCCGUGAGCAGACUGCGAAACCAUGAAGGAGAGACGACAGGAAUGCCAGAGCCUGAACUCAGCCAACUGUGAAAAUAAACUGUGAUUAUAAGAAGUCUA